Myotis daubentonii (Daubenton's bat) is the source of this 466-nucleotide non-coding RNA. NCBI's taxonomy places the organism in Eukaryota, Metazoa, Chordata, Mammalia, Chiroptera, Vespertilionidae. The record is from the annotation of a RefSeq genome assembly.
UGGAAACGCCUCCACCCUGCCUCUCCUGGCCAUGGACUCCAUGCUCCUCUGCUGUGUGGCCUUUUGUCUCCUUGGAACAGGGUACAUAGAUGCUGGUGUUUUCCAGACCCCAAGGAAUAAGAUUGCAGAGACAGGAAACAGCAUUUUUCUGGAAUGUUCUCAGAAUGAGGAUCAUGACUAUAUGUACUGGUAUCGACAAGACCCAGGACUGGGGCUACGGCUGAUCUACUACUCGUACAGUGAAAAAAUUUACAAAGGAGAUGUCCACAAUGGGUACAGUGCCUCUCGAAAGGAGCAUGCAAAAUUCCCCCUCUUUCUAAAGGCUGCCAGCCCAAACCAGACAGCUGUUUAUUUCUGUACCAGUGGCCUCACACAGCGUUUCUUGGCCACCUGCUCUCCAUACAGAAAGAGAAGCAUGUGGGCAAGUCACCUGGAUGCCAGAGCUAUCCAGAACCUAGAGACAUAG